GUUUUAAUAGUUUAAACAAAAACACUGGUCUUGUAAACCAAAAUUAAGUCAAGCUUUUAAAACU
Molecule: transfer RNA, 64 nt
Filed under: Phyllothelys shaanxiense
Lineage: Eukaryota; Metazoa; Arthropoda; Insecta; Mantodea; Hymenopodidae
Description: tRNA-Thr
Rfam family: tRNA
About the family: Transfer RNA (tRNA) molecules are approximately 80 nucleotides in length. Their secondary structure includes four short double-helical elements and three loops (D, anti-codon, and T loops).
Source: RNAcentral